Molecule: transfer RNA, 72 nt
Filed under: Rhamnusium bicolor
Lineage: Eukaryota; Metazoa; Arthropoda; Insecta; Coleoptera; Cerambycidae
Description: tRNA-OTHER
Rfam family: tRNA
About the family: Transfer RNA (tRNA) molecules are approximately 80 nucleotides in length. Their secondary structure includes four short double-helical elements and three loops (D, anti-codon, and T loops).
Source: RNAcentral
GUUGAAAUAUCUCAGUGGGAGAGCGUUAGACUGAAGAUCUUGAGGUUCUGAGUUCAAAUCUCAGUUUCAACA